This 424-nucleotide ribosomal RNA is filed under the name uncultured bacterium. Its description in RNAcentral is "bacterial SSU rRNA". It matches the Rfam family "Bacterial small subunit ribosomal RNA", at positions 355 to 776 of the family's 1533-position model. The record is from RNAcentral.
UGAGGAAUAUUGGUCAAUGGAGGCAACUCUGAACCAGCCAUGCCGCGUGCAGGAUGACGAUCCUAUGGAUUGUAAACUGCUUUUGUACAGGAAGAAAUGCAAUUACGUGUAGUUGUUUGACGGUACUGUAAGAAUAAGGACCGGCUAACUCCGUGCCAGCAGCCGCGGUAAUACGGAGGGUCCGAGCGUUAUCCGGAAUUAUUGGGUUUAAAGGGUCCGUAGGCGGUUUUGUAAGUCAGUGGUGAAAUCUCCUAGCUUAACUAGGAAAUUGCCGUUGAUACUGUGAGACUUGAAUCAUUAGGAAGUAACUAGAAUAUGUAGUGUAGCGGUGAAAUGCUUAGAGAUUACAUGGAAUACCAAUUGCGAAGGCAGGUUACUACUAGUGUAUUGACGCUGAUGGACGAAAGCGUGGGUAGCGAACAGG